GUAAACGAUGAGUGCUAAGUGUUGGAGGGUUUCCGCCCUUUCAGUGCUGCAGCUAACGCAUUAAGCACCCCGCCUGGGGAGUACGACCGCAAGGUUGAAACUCAAAGGAAUUGACGGGGGCCCGCACAGGCGGUGGAGCAUGUGGUUUAAUUCGAAGCAACGCGAAGAACCUUACCAGGUCUUGACAUCCUCUGACAACCCUAGAGAUAGGGCUUUCCCUUCGGGGACAGAGUGACAGGUGGUGCAUGGUUGUCGUCAGCUCGUGUCGUGAGAUGUUGGGUUAAGUCCCGCAACGAGCGCAACCCUUGUCGUUAGUUGCCAUCAUUCAGUUGGGCACUCUAGCGAGACUGCCGGUGACAAACCGGAGGAAGGUGGGGAUGACGUCAAAUCAUCAUGCCCCUUAUGACCUGGGCUACACACGUGCUACAAUGGACGGUACAACGAGCAGCGAACUCGCGAGGGCAAGCGAAUCUCUUAAAGCCGUUCUCAGUUCGGAUUGCAGGCUGCAACUCGCCUGCAUGAAGCCGGAAUCGCUAGUAAUCGUGGAUCAGCAUGCCACGGUGAAUACGUUCCCGGGCCUUGUACACACCGCCCGUCACACCACGAGAGUUUGUAACACCCAAAGUCGGUGCGGUAACCUUUUGGAGCCAGCCGCCUAAGGUGGGAUAGAUGAUUGGGGUG
RNAcentral lists this ribosomal RNA (681 nucleotides) under uncultured Catellicoccus sp. Its description in RNAcentral is "bacterial SSU rRNA". It matches the Rfam family "Bacterial small subunit ribosomal RNA", at positions 802 to 1482 of the family's 1533-position model. The record is from RNAcentral. Lineage: Bacteria; Bacillati; Bacillota; Bacilli; Lactobacillales; Enterococcaceae.